Nycticebus coucang (slow loris) is the source of this 3623-nucleotide long non-coding RNA. RefSeq lists it as uncharacterized. Lineage: Eukaryota; Metazoa; Chordata; Mammalia; Primates; Lorisidae. The record is from RefSeq and is a predicted model, not a curated record. The transcript has 3 exons.
UGGGAGGUCCUCGCCUCUCUGUGGUUUGCCGAGUCGGGGCCUCCAGCGAAGCGGGAAGCUGCGCAGGUGCGAGAGCUGCGCGCUACGGACCUCCAACCCCAGUGUAUGCGCGGGCGCGGGGCGGGGGCGCGCGGGGGCGCUGUGCUCGCACAUCUAGACCGUAUCCCGAAGGGCUUCGGCAAACGUCUGUUUCGCAGAAUUCAUCAGUAUGAAAUUUGUACCCUUAUUUGACAUUUGUUGCCAAACGAACCAAGUGUAUGUUCUACGUAAAAAUGUCCCCUUUAAAUUACUAAAGUCUGAAGAAUAUUCUGGCCCAUCGGAGAGUUCACCUGAGAGCAAAAUCUGUACCGGAGCAAGUACAGAUGGAAAGAAAACAGAGGAAGCCCUGUCGAUGUGACUGGCAUGUCGCUCAUGGGAAAUGCUCCAGGAGAAUGAGCGCUGGGCGAGGUUUGUGGGGUUCUCUUAAGCCCUCACUGGGGGAAUCCUCUGAGUGUUGAAACCGGCUCCUAACAGAGCCUCAAGCUGUUGUCCUGGAUAGAGUGUUGUGGCAUCACAGCUCACAGCAACCUCCAACUCCUGGGCCCAAGCGAUUCUCCUGCCUCUGCCUCCCAAGUAGCUGGGACUACAGGCACCCGCCACAAUGCCCGACUAUUUUUUUUUUUUUUUUUUUUUGGUUGCAGCUGUUACUGUUGUUUGGCGGGCUCUGGCUGGAUUCGAACCCGCCAGCUCAGGUGUAUCCGAGCCCUUACCCCUAAAUCUUGAGGUGGUGCAAUGCCGUGAGGUAUCAAAACUUCAGGGGUACUACACAAAAGAAAUAAUUUGAAAUACUGCUCCCAAUAUUGAGCAUGUGAACAAUUUCUUUGUUAUUCAAGUGGUUUCUUAUUCUUUCUCUCCAAUAGAAUGAGAAGAGGGCCUGAUUGUUAGGUUGGCCAAGCUUAUUCCAUUUUAGAUCUGAAAAACCCAUUCUGUGAGACGCUGUUACAGGUGGUCCUCAUUCAGGUAAGAGAGACUCAUGUCCUUGUACCUAUCCAGUUACAAACCCAUAAGAAAUAUGCCCUCACCACAAGCUUCUGACACUCUGAUAAGAAGAGCCGGCCCAGAGAGUACCAAUAAUGAGCUGCAUGUCCUUGGCACCCUGAUAAGAAAGACUUGUGUAAAAAAAAAAAAAAGAAAGACUUGUGUGUAAAGCCAGCUGCUCUUCAACCUGCUAUAAAUAAGAACUGCCUCUUUCCCUAAUGCUGCUGACAUCUCUUUAGAUUUCAGCCCGCUUAUAAGGUAUAAAAUAAACUUCCCUGGUAUGUUUGCUAUGUCUGGUCUCUUGUAUUGUUUUUUUGUUUGUUUGUUUGUUUUUGUAGAGACAGAGUUUCACUUUAUCGCCCUCAGUAGAGUGCCAUGGUGUCACACAGCUCACAGCAACCUCCAACUCCUGGGCCUAGGUAACUCUCCUGCCUCAGCCUCCCAAGUAGCUGGGACCACACGCACCCGCUACAACGCCUGGCCAUUUUUCUGUUGUAGUUUGGCUGGGGCCGGGUUUGAACCCACCACCCUCGGUAUAUGGUGCCGGCGCCCUACCCACUGAGCUACACGCGCCACCCAGGUCUCUUGUGUUUUGAUUUGGGCCUCAUUUCAACUGUCACUGAUCAAGUUGUCAGCAGCCAAGAAAACCAUUUCUGUUGAGAAAUCACCAUUUUGUUUUGUUUUGUUUUUUUGAGACAGAGUCUCAAGCUGUCACCCUGGGUAAAGUGCCGUGGCAUCACAGCUCAUAGCAACCUCCAGCUCCUGGGCUCAAACAAUUCUCCUGCCUCUGCCUCCCAAAUAGCUGGGACUAUAGGCGUCCACCACAACGCCCGGCUAUUUUUUGGUUGCAGCCGUCAUUGUUGUUUGGGGGGCCCAGGCUGGAUAUGAAUUCACCAGCUCAAGUGUAUGUGGCUGGCGCCAUAGCCGCUUGAGCCACAGGCGCCAAGCCGAGAAAUCACCAUUUUUGGUAAAUAAAAUUGACAUUGCUAUAACUAUAUUCCUUUCAACAUCAUCUAAUUUAUGAGAGCAGGAUUUUUCAACAUUUACAUCUAUAAAAACAAAAGUAGGAAUAGAUUUAAUACUUCAUUGUAGUAAUAAGUAAUGUCCAUCUACUGAGAAAAACAAGACAUCAUCUCAAGAGAUAAAUUUCAAAUAAAAAUAACUGUCUGUUAAUCACAGGUAAGAGUUGUUAAAAAAGCCAGGUGCGGUGGCUCACGCCUGUAAUCCCAGCAUUCUGGGUGGAUUGCCUGAGUUCAGGAGUUCAAGACCAGCCUGAGCCAGAGGGAGACCCCCUGUCUUUAAAAAAAAAAAAAGAGUUGUUAUAUAUUUAUCUUUUGAUCAGUUGUGAACUACUAAUAAGGGUAACACACAAGAGAAUUGUUUUAACAUUUAAAGCCUUAUAUUUGUAAAAAAUAAGAAAUUGAUUACUUUUCAGUUUGUAUAUAAUUUUUUUUUUUUUUUUUGAGACACAGUCUCACUAUGUUGCUCUUGGUAGAGUGUUGUGGCAUCACAGCUCACAGCAACCUCCAACUCUUAGGCUUAAGCAAUUCUCUUGCCUUAGCCUCCCAAGUAGCUGCGUCUACAGGCGCCCCCCACAAUGCUCGGCUAUUUUUUGGUUGCCGUUGUCAUUGUUGCUUAGCUGGCCUGAGCUGGUUCAAACCCGCCGCCCUUGGUGUAUGUGGCUGGCGCCGUAACCACUAUGCUACGGGUGCCGAGCCAGUUUGUAUAUAAUUUUUGUGCAGAGAAUUUUGCUUGGUCAAGAAAAAGCUUUUAAACAUAAAAAGUAUUGCAUUAAGUAAAAUUCCAUGGGAAGAGUGGAAUAGAUUUGAGGUGAGGGGGGGAGUGUCAAAUUCCCAUUAAGAAACUGUUCAGGUAUAUUUUUAAACUUUUUCUUAUAGAAAAUCUUGCUCAUCCCCAAGCUUCAGUAAUUGUAAUAAAGUACCAAUCUGUUUCAUCUACAGUCUCAGAAUCCCUCCUGAUUAUUUUGAAGCAAAUGCCAGAUAUAACUGAAUGCCUUGCUAGUAAACCAUCUAACAGAAAAAAAAAAAAGGAAGAAAUCACUGCAUAUAACUGCCCAUUGUUUGCUUUACUUGUGACUUAACUUCUUGUCUUUAUGAGUUUGUCUUAGCAACUCUUGAAGAGUACUGAGCAGCCAGAAAGGGAACAGCUUUCCCCACAUCCACCAGACCACAUCCCGAGGAGACCAAGAAAGCCAGCCUAGCAGAGAAAAAGAAGCAAACACAGCCACCUUCAUUAUCAUUUUGCACCAGAAACCAUUUUUUACCCUUUAUAACUCCAAUAAAAGCUCAAGCCAAAGAAGUGGGGUCAGCACUGCUUUCUUUCAUGUCGUGCCCUUUCCUCCCUUAGAAAGUAAACAUUUUGCUUCAAACCUAUCCUAAACUUUGAGUUGAGAAUUCUUUCUCAUCAUGUGGUAAGAGUUCCCAUCCUAACAAUAAUGUCAUUUAUUUGUAAAUGUUUCUGUAUAAUGCCUAUGAUAAGGAUUCUAAAAAUACUUAAAACAUCACCUAAAAAUAUGGAAUAGAAACUAUUUAAUAUUAUGUAUCAAGCCAGCAGUCACAUUUCCCUGACUGCCUUAUACAUUUUAA